RNAcentral lists this ribosomal RNA (473 nucleotides) under Escherichia coli. Its description in RNAcentral is "bacterial SSU rRNA". It matches the Rfam family "Bacterial small subunit ribosomal RNA", at positions 1 to 470 of the family's 1533-position model. Lineage: Bacteria; Pseudomonadati; Pseudomonadota; Gammaproteobacteria; Enterobacterales; Enterobacteriaceae. The record is from RNAcentral.
AAAUUGAAGAGUUUGAUCAUGGCUCAGAUUGAACGCUGGCGGCAGGCCUAACACAUGCAAGUCGAACGGUAACAGAAAGAAGCUUGCUUCUUUGCUGACGAGUGGCGGACGGGUGAGUAAUGUCUGGGAAACUGCCUGAUGGAGGGGGAUAACUACUGGAAACGGUAGCUAAUACCGCAUAAGGUCGCAAGACCAAAGAGGGGGACCUUCGGGCCUCUUGCCAUCGGAUGUGCCCAGAUGGGAUUAGCUAGUAGGUGGGGUAACGGCUCACCUAGGCGACGAUCCCUAGCUGGUCUGAGAGGAUGACCAGCCACACUGGAACUGAGACACGGUCCAGACUCCUACGGGAGGCAGCAGUGGGGAAUAUUGCACAAUGGGCGCAAGCCUGAUGCAGCCAUGCCGCGUGUAUGAAGAAGGCCUUCGGGUUGUAAAGUACUUUCAGCGGGGAGGAAGGGAGUAAAGUUAAUACCUUU